RNAcentral lists this ribosomal RNA (253 nucleotides) under uncultured bacterium. RNAcentral's name for it is "partial 16S ribosomal RNA". It matches the Rfam family "Bacterial small subunit ribosomal RNA", at positions 524 to 776 of the family's 1533-position model. The record is from RNAcentral.
UACGGAGGGUGCAAGCGUUAAUCGGAAUUACUGGGCGUAAAGCGUGCGUAGGCGGUUUGUUAAGUCUGCUGUGAAAGCCCCGGGCUCAACCUGGGAAUGGCAGUGGAUACUGGCAAGCUUGAGUGUGUCAGAGGAUGGCGGAAUUCCCGGUGUAGCGGUGAAAUGCGUAGAGAUCGGGAGGAACAUCAGUGGCGAAGGCGGCCAUCUGGGACAACACUGACGCUGAGGCACGAAAGCGUGGGGAGCAAACAGG